UACGUAGGGGGCAAGCGUUGUCCGGAUUUAUUGGGCGUAAAGAGCGUGUAGGCGGCUUUGCAAGUCCGUUGUGAAAACUCGAGGCUCAACCUCGAGACGCCGGUGGAAACUGCAAAGCUAGAGUCCGGAAGAGGAGAGUGGAAUUCCUGGUGUAGCGGUGAAAUGCGCAGAUAUCAGGAGGAACACCGGUGGCGAAGGCGCCACUCUGGGCCGAAACUGACGCUGAGGCACGAAGGCCAGGGGAGCAAACGGG
RNAcentral lists this ribosomal RNA (253 nucleotides) under uncultured bacterium. Its description in RNAcentral is "partial 16S ribosomal RNA". It matches the Rfam family "Bacterial small subunit ribosomal RNA", at positions 524 to 776 of the family's 1533-position model. The record is from RNAcentral.